This is a non-coding RNA of Pelobates cultripes (western spadefoot toad), 533 nucleotides long. Lineage: Eukaryota; Metazoa; Chordata; Amphibia; Anura; Pelobatidae. The record is from the annotation of a GenBank genome assembly.
CUUCUUCCAUUGCUCCAUGGUCCAGUUCUGGCAUCCACGUCCCCAUUAUAGAAGCGGUGGACAGGGAUCAUCAUGGAACCAUGUGUGUACCAACACCAUGUGUUGUGACACCUUUCAGUGACAGCAUUACGUUUUUCAUCUAUUUGAGCUACAGUAUCUCUUCUGUGUGAUCCGACCACACAGGCUAGCCUUCACUCCCCACGUGCAUCAAUGAGUCUGAUGCCGGUUUACUUGUUGCCCUUCCUUACAACACUUUUUGUGGGUACUAACUACUGCAUACCAAGAACACCUCACAAGACUUACUGUUUUGGAGAUGCUUUGACCCAGUCAUCUAGCCAUCACUAUUUGGCCCUUGUCAAAGUCACUUUUCGCUUGCCCAUUUUUCCUCCUUCCAACACAAGAAAUUCAAGAACUGACUGUUCACUUGCUGCCUAAUAUAUCCCACCGCAUGACAGGUGCUAUUGUAAUGAUAUAAUCAAUUAUAUAAUCAAUGUUAUUCACGUCACCUGUCAGUGGUUUUAAUGUUGUGACUG